AGUCUUCCCUGUCGCUUUAAGCGACCUAAAGGAACGUUUAAGACUAAGACGUUGAUAGGCUGGGUGUGUAAGCGUAGCGAUACGUUGAGCUAACCAGUACUAAUGAACCGUGAGGCUUAACCUG
Molecule: ribosomal RNA, 124 nt
Filed under: Proteus mirabilis
Lineage: Bacteria; Pseudomonadati; Pseudomonadota; Gammaproteobacteria; Enterobacterales; Morganellaceae
Description: partial 23S ribosomal RNA
Rfam family: Bacterial large subunit ribosomal RNA
Source: RNAcentral